Non-coding RNA from Vigna umbellata (rice bean), 205 nucleotides. NCBI's taxonomy places the organism in Eukaryota, Viridiplantae, Streptophyta, Magnoliopsida, Fabales, Fabaceae. The record is from RefSeq and is a predicted model, not a curated record.
GUGGAAGAAAAUGUAGGGUUGCUCACCAUCCGCCAGCAAUACCAUAAACUUGCCCUGCAACUUCAUCCGGACAAGAACAAACAUCCAAAGGCUGAAAUUGCUUUCAAACUUAUUUCUGAGGCAUAUAUGUGUCUGUCUGAUGCUGAAAAAAGGAAAGGUUUUGACUCAAAAAGAUCUAAAAAUUUCUGCUUUGAGAGCAAUAAAA